This 52-nucleotide ribosomal RNA is filed under the name Amphicarpaea bracteata (hog peanut). Its description in RNAcentral is "partial large subunit ribosomal RNA". RNAcentral also lists the same sequence under 1 other name. Lineage: Eukaryota; Viridiplantae; Streptophyta; Magnoliopsida; Fabales; Fabaceae. The record is from RNAcentral.
GAGACCUCAGGUCAGGCGGGGCUACCCGCUGAGUUUAAGCAUAUCAAUAAGC